RNAcentral lists this ribosomal RNA (178 nucleotides) under Chaenothecopsis dolichocephala. RNAcentral's name for it is "5.8S ribosomal RNA". The stretch from base 2 to 155 matches the Rfam family "5.8S ribosomal RNA". From Rfam's summary of the family: 5.8S ribosomal RNA (5.8S rRNA) is a component of the large subunit of the eukaryotic ribosome. It is transcribed by RNA polymerase I as part of the 45S precursor that also contains 18S and 28S rRNA. Functionally, it is thought that 5.8S rRNA may be involved in ribosome translocation. The record is from RNAcentral. Lineage: Eukaryota; Fungi; Ascomycota; Eurotiomycetes; Mycocaliciales; Mycocaliciaceae.
AAACUUUCAACAACGGAUCUCUUGGUUCUGGCAUCGAUGAAGAACGCAGCGAAAUGCGAUAAGUAAUGUGAAUUGCAGAAUUCAGUGAAUCAUCGAAUCUUUGAACGCACAUUGCGCCCCCUGGUAUUCCGGGGGGCAUGCCUGUUCGAGCGUCAUUAUCAACCCUCAAGCUCGGCUU